This 77-nucleotide transfer RNA is filed under the name Clostridia bacterium. Its description in RNAcentral is "tRNA-Pro". It matches the Rfam family "tRNA". Rfam says of the family: Transfer RNA (tRNA) molecules are approximately 80 nucleotides in length. The record is from RNAcentral. Lineage: Bacteria; Bacillati; Bacillota; Clostridia.
CGAUGCGUGGCUCAGCUUGGUAGAGCGCGGCGUUCGGGACGCCGAGGUCGCAGGUUCGAAUCCUGUCGCAUCGAUCA